This 1604-nucleotide long non-coding RNA is filed under the name Androctonus crassicauda. The record is from RNAcentral. Lineage: Eukaryota; Metazoa; Arthropoda; Arachnida; Scorpiones; Buthidae.
AUUUCAAAUGAUUAAUUUAUUUAAUUAUAGUAACUGAAUAACUAAUUUAUUCAUUAUUCAUUAUUUGUUAUUCUGAAUGAAAUAUGCCCAACUCCAGUACCACAUAAUUGUAUAUACUUCUCUGUUUUUUGAUUAUACUGUUAUCAUUUCUAAUGGAAUUAAAUACCAUGUUGUUCCUAGAGUGUUUGGUGCUAUAUCCUAUUGUGGGGACAUAGAAUUUAGGCCUGAUGGAAGGUAUCACUCUCCACUUCUUCAAAACUUUCAAAAGGAAUUUGAACAGACUGACACCUUAGGAGGAUAAAAGAUAAAAACUAUUGUACCACCUAGUCUUGGAGAUCUUCGUCCUCCACAACAUAAAAUACCAAAUCAAAAAUAAUAAACAGGGAACUAAAGUAUCAAAGGAAGAAUUGCAUUAUGUUAAAAUGUUAUGGAAGAUGUGAGAGAAAAAAAAAAGAUAGAGAUUAAUAAAUGUAAAAGGAGAGAAAGGGGACAUUCCAUCCUUCAUUUCUCCAGAAUAAGAAAAAUAUCACAACUGUGAGACAAUUGGAGUGGCGUUCCAACUGCAUUGAAGACAAGCAGCCAGAUGCAAGUCAGUUAGCUUAAAGACCAGAAAAUAAAAUCAAAAAGAGAGAGUGCAAAUCCUGUUUCCUGUGGUGUUGUGUCAAGGGAAAAAAAGGAAGAAACCAAGAAAAUGAAGUGGUGAAAAAAGACUUUAGGAUAGAAUUAAAUUCAACCCUGCUACCUCAAGUUCAUCAUAACUUUUUUUUUUUUUUUUGAAGGUGAAUUGAACUGAAGUGUACAUGAUUUAAAUAAAAGUUGAACUUUUCAUAAAAAGAUAUUUAUCCUUCAAAAAUUAUCAUUGUCAGGCUCUUUGCAUUGUAAACUUUCUCUCUCUCUCUUUAAUAAAGAAAGUUUUGUUAUCAAACAUACUUCUAUUGCAAGGUCUUGUUAGGUAACAAGGCCUUGCAAUAGAAGUAUCCUUACUCACUCCAAAGAACACAGAUAGGCCAAAAGCCUGUUCAAAUCAUAAGUCUCACACUACAGUAUUUUAUAUUGCUUUUUUCAUCUUGACGAUAAGUUUAUUAUAAUUGACAUUUUAAAAUUUUUUAAACAUUCAGAUUCAUUUCUUCUUUUCUGUUAAUUGCUUAUGUUUCUUACACUAUCUUCAUAACUGUCUUCCUGUUGUAGUCAUGAUCUUGCAUCUGUAUUAAAAUCAAAUGUCUCUUUGGUUUUUUCCUCAACCUUAUAUUAGUCUUGAUCAUUUCAGCUAGGGUUCUAAUAUCUGCUUUUCUGUACUGGAAAGAUUCCUUAGACCAUAUCAGUAUUAAGAAUGGGGUAUAGGAUUUCUUCCUGGCUGUCCUUGGUACAUAUUCUCCAUUUCUUAUUUUAAUCACAAAAUCAAGAUAAUUAAUCUAUUUUUGGCUUUCUCUUUCAAUCUUCAGCUUUGCUCUAGAUUACUGUGAAGAUAACAUGGAGUCUAACAUAUUCUAUUUCUCUGUGAUUAUAAAGAUGUUAUCUAAGUGUAUCUUAUAUAUAUCUUAAAAUAUUUAUUUAUACAUUUUAACAGAACUGGCUAUGUAUCAAGCUAUAUAGGUUUGUGUUAU